UGCAGAAUCCCGCGAACCAUCGAGUCUUUGAACGCAAGUUGCGCCCGAGGCCUCUUGGCUGAGGGCACGCCUGCCUGGGCGUCACGCCAAAUACGCUCCCACCACCUAAUCGGGUAGUAGGAUGCGGCUUGUGGCUCUCCGUCACGCAAGUUGCGGUGGGCCGAAGAUGUGGCUGCCGGCGUAUCGUGUCGGACACAGCGCGUGGUGGGCGACCUCGCUUUACUUACCGCAGUGUAUCCGACCCGUAGCCGACGUCAUGGCCUCGAAUGACCCAAUGGACGGAGCGCAUGACGCUUCGACCGCGACCCCAGGUCAGGCGGGACUACCCGCUGAGUUUAAGCAUAUAAAUAAGCGGAGGAGAAGAAACUUACAAGGAUUCCCCUAGUAACGGCGAGCGAACCGGGAGCAGCCCAGCUUGAGAAUCGGGCGGCCGUGCCGUCCGA
Molecule: ribosomal RNA, 443 nt
Filed under: Puccinellia maritima
Lineage: Eukaryota; Viridiplantae; Streptophyta; Magnoliopsida; Poales; Poaceae
Description: eukaryotic LSU rRNA
Rfam family: Eukaryotic large subunit ribosomal RNA (bases 303-443)
Source: RNAcentral